AUUGAACGCUGGCGGCAGGCCUAACACACGCAAGUCGAACGGUAGCACAGAGAGCUUGCUCUCGGGUGACGAGUGGCGGACGGGUGAGUAAUGUCUGGGAAACCGCCCGAUAGAGGGGGAUAACCACUGGAAACGGUGGCUAAUACCGCAUAACGUCGCAAGACCAAAGAGGGGGACCUUCGGGCCUCUCACUAUCGGAUGAACCCAGAUGGGAUUAGCUAGUAGGCGGGGUAAUGGCCCACCUAGGCGACGAUCCCUAGCUGGUCUGAGAGGAUGACCAGCCACACUGGAACUGAGAGACGGUCCAGAGUCCGACGGGAGGGAGGAGUGGGGAAUAUUGCACAAUGGGCGCAAGCCUGAUGCAGCCAUGCCGGGUGUAUGAAGAAGGCCUUCGGGUUGUAAAGUACUUUCAGCGGGGAGGAAGGCGGUGAGGUUAAUAACCUCGCCGAUUGACGUUACCCGCAGAAGAAGCACCGGCUAACUCCGUGCCAGCCGCCGCGGUAA
RNAcentral lists this ribosomal RNA (504 nucleotides) under uncultured bacterium. Its description in RNAcentral is "partial 16S ribosomal RNA". It matches the Rfam family "Bacterial small subunit ribosomal RNA", at positions 29 to 523 of the family's 1533-position model. The record is from RNAcentral.